UUUGUGGUCAUUCCUUUUCUGCCAGCAUUGACACCUGGAAUUCUGAAGAACCAAUGAGUGGAUCCUUUUAAAAACUUUGUCUCGUGCCCAAUCCCCGUCAGAAGCAGCAGCAUUAUAAACAACAUUGUCUUCCCCGUGCGUCAGAAAGGACGUGGGUUUAUGUGACUAUGUUCAUGCCUGGUGUGAAGGUCAGAAGAAGGGAGUAGAUCCCGUGGAACUAGGUUAUGGAUGCUUAUGGCCGACCUGGAGUGCUGGGGACCUCUGCAAGAAUAGCAAGUGCUCUUAACUGCUGAGGCCUCACUCCAGCCCUAAAAGCCAAUGUUUAAACCGGAUUUAAUAGCUCACACCUACACUCCCAACACUUCAAGGCACUGAAGACGGAGGAUUAGUUUGAGUUCAAGGCUAGCCAGGGCAAUCUGGACUAUAGAAUAAGACCUUCUCACAAAAGAAAAUUAAUGGAAAUAAAACUCAUCCUGGUCUAAAAAUCAGGUUCCAGGCCAGCUGGAUCUUCACUGCAAAACCCUAUCUCAAAAAAUAAAAAAGAAUAAAUAAAUAAAUAGGUUUGAUUUGCUUAUUAGAAAA
This is a non-coding RNA of Rattus norvegicus (Norway rat), 582 nucleotides long. The record is from RefSeq and is a predicted model, not a curated record. Lineage: Eukaryota; Metazoa; Chordata; Mammalia; Rodentia; Muridae.